RNAcentral lists this ribosomal RNA (664 nucleotides) under uncultured Fibrobacter sp. RNAcentral's name for it is "bacterial SSU rRNA". It matches the Rfam family "Bacterial small subunit ribosomal RNA", at positions 163 to 828 of the family's 1533-position model. The record is from RNAcentral. Lineage: Bacteria; Pseudomonadati; Fibrobacterota; Fibrobacteria; Fibrobacterales; Fibrobacteraceae.
UUAAUGUCCAGGAGAGUGGCCAGCUGCAUGGCUGGUUGACUAGAGAUUUAUCGGUAUGGGAUGAGCUUGCGUCCGAUUAGCUAGUUGGCGGGGCAACGGCCCACCAAGGCGACGAUCGGUAGCCGGCCUGAGAGGGUGAUCGGCCACAUUGGGACUGAGAUACGGCCCAGACUCCUACGGGAGGCAGCAGUAGGGAAUAUUGCACAAUGGGGGAAACCCUGAUGCAGCAACGCCACGUGUGGGAAGAAGCAUUUCGGUGUGUAAACCACUGUCAUGAGGGAAUAAGGCCCGCCUUCGGGCGGGAUUGAAUGUACCUUGAGAGGAAGCACCGGCAAACUUCGUGCCAGCAGCCGCGGUAAUACGAGGGGUGCAAGCGUUGUUCGGAAUUACUGGGCGUAAAGGGAGCGUAGGCGGAGAUUCAAGCGGAUUGUACAAUCCCGGGGCCCAACCCCGGCUCUGCAGUCCGAACUGGAUCUCUUGGAUAGUUCAGGGGCAGGCGGAAUUCCUGGUGUAGCGGUGGAAUGCGUAGAGAUCAGGAAGAACACCGAUGGCGAAGGCAGCCUGCUGCGGACUUAUCGACGCUGAGGCUCGAAAGUGCGGGUAGCAAACAGGAUUAGAUACCCUGGUANUCCGCACCGUANACAAUGCAUACUGGGUGUCCGGG